UCUUAAAAAAUAUUAGUAUGAUCACAAAUAUAUCUCAAAUAAAUCUCAAUCCAAUCUUAAUUUAAUCCUAGUUAAAAUCCUAUUAUACUUCAUUCAAACUUUAGGCCAAAAACUAACUAAAUCUUAAAUUGUAAAUAAAUCCUAAACGAACCUUAAUCAAAUCCUAAUAAAAUCCUAAAUCCUAAAUUAAAUCCUAACCAAAUCCUAAAUCCUAAAUUAACUCUUAAUCAAAUCUUAAUCCUAAAUCAAAUCCUAAUCAAAUCCUAAACCCUAAAUCCUAAACCAAAUCUUAACCAAAUCCUAAUCUUAAUUCAAUCCUCACCAAAUUCUAAACCUUAAACCAAAUCCUAAUCAAAUCCUAAAUCUUAUACCAAAUACUAAUCAAAUUCUAAACCUUAAAUCAAACCUUAAUCAAUCUCAAGUAAUUUUUAUAAUAAA
Molecule: long non-coding RNA, 438 nt
Filed under: Physcomitrium patens
Lineage: Eukaryota; Viridiplantae; Streptophyta; Bryopsida; Funariales; Funariaceae
Description: long non-coding RNA (PPAT_LNC002892)
Source: RNAcentral